This is a non-coding RNA of Triticum aestivum (bread wheat), 135 nucleotides long. The record is from Rfam. Lineage: Eukaryota; Viridiplantae; Streptophyta; Magnoliopsida; Poales; Poaceae.
GAUAUACUCCCUCCGUUCGAAAUUACUUAACCCAUAUUUAUUUAGAUACGAAUGUAUCUAGGCACUAAACAAGUAUAGAUACAUCCGUAUUUAGACAAAUCCAAGUCAACUAAUUUAGAACGGAGGGAGUAGUUG